UGAAGUUGGCAAUAGCAAACAUCCGAGCAGCUGAAAUGAUCAGUAUCAGAUGAAAGUGGUGCUGGGAAAGCAAGGCAAGACUGGGUUUCGCCGUCUCCCUGGUUCAAUCUUUAUCCGGAGAAAUGCCAUCAAUAAGUAUAGAGAAGGCCAUUAUAGUCAUGCAACAGGGAUCCAUUCCAAGCCGCCAUUAUUAUUGUCUCAGCUCUAAUCUUGUUUUAAGCUUCAUCAACUUCCCUUGUCAAAAUGAAUUUUUGUCACCCUCCUUGAGACCCUUUCUACGCACAAACCGGAGCAAUUCGAAGCCAUUGAUUUCAGCUCUUCAGACGCGAUCAAGGGCAUUUUCCUGUUCCUGCGAAUGGAGAGUGUGAAGUUCCACUGUUCCAGUUCUCAUUUACUCCAUAUUACACGUUGGAAUUAGACCAAAGGCUUGUCAACGCUCAGGUACAACCCUACUUAUUGUCCCUUCCAACUUUCCUUGGGUAAUCGGUAGCAGAGUUUGUUGAAAGUGAUGGACUAGUGGAUCUACCUUCUACCCUUAAAAGGCAGGAGACUCGCUUUAUUUAUUUCAGACAAUAUAUGAGAUCCAAGAAAUGCGUUAAGUGAAGCAAUAAAACCCACCAAUAUGCAAUGGUGAUUCGUGAACAGAGUAAUUGAAAGAUUUAGGGGUUCAAUAAAUAGAAUACGGAGUAGCAGGUUGUUUAAUGUCUAAGCUUUGAGUACUUGAGAACCAAAUAAUUAAGGUGAUGAUAGAGCCGCAAAAGAUUGCAAGUAUUUGUAAGAGUAAAGCAAUCAUGAUUAUGAAUGCUAAAAAGUAACAGCAAAUAAGAAAUUAGUUAUACCUGUUGUGAUUGGGAGUAGGGUUAGGUUGGAGGCAGAGGAGUAUUAAGAGGAAGCAGGAAGAGAUAG
Molecule: unclassified non-coding RNA, 906 nt
Filed under: Hevea brasiliensis (rubber tree)
Lineage: Eukaryota; Viridiplantae; Streptophyta; Magnoliopsida; Malpighiales; Euphorbiaceae
Source: RNAcentral